Bos indicus x Bos taurus (hybrid cattle) is the source of this 1451-nucleotide long non-coding RNA. The record is from Ensembl. NCBI's taxonomy places the organism in Eukaryota, Metazoa, Chordata, Mammalia, Artiodactyla, Bovidae.
CUGGAAGUCCUCUAGUUCAAUUUUCUCUGUUUUAGGAAUCCCUUCUCUAGCGUCUCUCUCUUGGCAUCUGAAUACCUCCAUGGUUGGGAUGCUCACCACCUCAAGGUGAAGUCAGUAUUACUCACUCUUCACAAGCUCCAAAUGUUACACAGUCCUUUCUGGAUUAGUCUGCAAUCUGCCUGCCUCCAACCACAUUGACAAAUUGAUGGCCGUCUCACCAUCUUGGCAACAUGGAGCACCCCACAUCCUUUUCCGCAAGAUGGAGAAAAUUUUUUAGAACUGGAGCUCCGUGAAAGAUUCUGUGACCCACACUGUUCAAGUGGAAAAGCCCAAGAUUGGGAAUUAGUUUUUUUGGGUUCUAGUUGUGGCUGUCUAACUUUGGGCAUUUAUUUCACCUCGCUGAGCCUCAUCUACAAUAAAAGCAAGUUUGGUUCUAGAAUCCUGUGCUUCCUUUAUCUUUUUUUGACCCAAAUAUACUCUGAGGAUUCUGUUAAGAGAGAGUUAGCUCACCACCAGUUGAAGACCUCCCAAGAUGAACAAACUGUGGUAGCUCACUACCACUUCUGUGGCUCACCUAGGCAUGGAUAAAACCAAGUAGAUUUGCAUUAAGCCAACACACACCACUAGCCAAGCCUUCUUGGAAAGAACAGUUUAUACUGUUGAAUGCCCUCUUGACAAAUUACUUGCAAAGAGCAUGAAUCACACUUGAGUCCAUUGCAAAACUCAUCACAUUUUCCACCAGGGCCCAGGAGAAUUUUCAGAGGGGAGGGAAGAUAUGGUCGUUUACCCCUGGGGCUGUUUGUCAGAAUGAUAAAGAAACUAUUCUGGGCAGAUAGGACCUCAUAAAAUAGCUGUCUGCUGGAGGCUUUGCAGUGACUUUGAUGUUCUGCAGGCGAAAACCAUCACAAGCGUGGGUGGGCCAGGCCCAGCCCAAGAUGAACUGGAAGGCAUCCUUUCUUGAACUUCUCAUUCAUUCAACAACUCUUUAUUCAGCACCAGCGAGCUACCAGGCUUGACCAUUAGCAGGAUCAUCAGCAGCAGCAGAGGCUUAUUUUUGUAACACUCCUGCUGAAAUUGGGUAUUACCAUUUAAAAAUCUUCACUAAUUUUAGAAGUGAAAAAGGUUUCCACUGUGGUUUUAAUUUGAAUUUCUGAUUCUUGACAUUUUACAGUUUUUAAAAUUUAAUUGUAAUUUCUCUUUUACAAAUUUUCCACAUAUACAUUAGGAUCUUAGUAGGUGUGGAAGGAACAGAUGCCAGGAGAAUACCUAAUGAUCCAUGAGCAUAGGAGCUAUGUUACAACUGUGGUGCCGAUGAUACGGGAUGUGUGAAUGACACUGAGGACCCACCAGACGCCAGGCACACACCUGGGUCUUCUCUCUGCCUGGCUGUGAGCUAGCUGUGACCACCUGAUGCUGGUUGCUGCUCUGCCUCUCUGACCCCCUCAUGACCU